AUUAUUUCAGUAAAUUCACUCAAUUUUUGUUUUCCAGGCACCCAUGUAAAACUUCGUUAAAAAUUCUGCUUCAACAUGAAAUUGAAUCCUAUUUGUCAAAGGAACAAAGAGGUGACGUUGGGUUUGUGAAUGUUAUGUGUACACAUAACAUUCUAGUCAUGUACUUGUGCAUGACAUACGCACAUGUCAUUGUAGAUCUACAGUGUAGACCACGUAUGUGUAAGAACAGAUGAGAGUAUAGCUGUCGAGUCUAGCAAAAAACAUGAUUAAGUCAUUGCAGCUUAGGUGAAAACUCAGUGGAUCAUAAAGGCACAUACAUUCAUUAGUUUUAAGACAAUGAAACUACGUGCUUUUUGGUAUCUUCCCAGGCAAAACCAAGAGUCAAAUAUUAUUUCUGCUUGACCAGACUAUAAAAAGCCACAGUGCACAAGCCUGCGGUGUUACAGGCACUUCCCAGCACUUUGGACUGCAGCUGACUAUGAAGAAGUUGGUCUCUGUCAGGUGACUUGAUAUUUACCUGUGUGACAAGUAGUCACACGCUGUCAGAAUAUCAAAUACAUUCUACUGGCCUAGAGAAACAUUUCUGAAGUUGACUGAUGUGGCAUGAAGACCAUGAAUGAAAUCUUUCUUGUAUUUCUCAAAGGCUUGCAUCAGUUUGUCUCUUUUCUGCUGAUCAUUAUCUGUACAAAUACAAAUGUAAACACAACUCUUUCAAGUUAAAUCAAUGUUCAAGUCACAUAUUAUUACUCUUUGCUCUUCUUCUUCCCACUGAAGACUGUUCUGUCUCCUCCCCUUGAUGCCAGGUAGUAUACAAAGCAGACAACCACUCCUCUUUAUGGUUGGUUUUUGAUGCUUCAGAAGCACACAUCCGUAUUUGAAAUAAAUGCAACCCAGGGCUUCAUUAUGUCACCCACAUGGUAAGUAACAAAUUGUGGAGGCAUAACAGGGCACAAUGUUUUGUUCCAAUCUCCUGCCCACUCUUUUUUCCCUGUCCUAGAGAAGAGCUGAUGCAAGUCAAAGUAGAAGAAAAGAUGAUGCAAUUAAGUUUCGGAGAUUCAAGCCUGACUGACCAAAGGCUGCCACUGUGGUCUGUGCAGACUUUACUUUUAAGAUAGUGUGAUUUCUGUGUUAGUCAAACAACAAAAAAAAUCCGGAACAGACCUUUGGAUCUUUGAUUCUUACAAGAAUUCUUGCAAGAACACUUAGAAUAAGCAUUACUAUAGAGUCAUAGAAUCGCGGAAUGUUCCAAGUUGGAAGAGGAAAGGAUCAUGGAAUAGGGUCCAACUCCUGCCUCCACACAGCAGCACGCAACACUCCAACCCUGUGUCUGAGAGUGUUGUCUAAGCACUUCCUGAACUCUGGCAGCUCUGGGCCGUGCCCACUGUCUUGAGCAGCCUGUUCCAUGCCCGCUGCCCUCUGGUGUAGAACCUUUCCCUAACCCCCUUGCCAUUCCCUUGGGUCCCACUGCUGUUACCAGGGAACAGAGCUCAGUACCUGCAUCUCCACUCCCCUCUUGAGGACUGCUGCAUCAUGACCACUUCCAACACCAGUUGUGCUUCCUUUUCAAGCCUCUUCUCUCCUGUAUGUGUCUUCCUAAAAUGACCUUGGUCUAUGCUAACCAGGCAUGCUCUCCAGACACGUGAACAAAAGGACUAGGAGUGGAAGAUGUUCUCAGUUUUUCAGGUUUGCAGACACCUGCACCACUACCAAGUGACCUGGGUUUUCUUCUUGCAGCUGACUGGAGAACUAAGUGCUUGCUGUGCAACACAGAUUGCAUAUUUGGAAAACAAGUCUAUAUCUACAUGACUGUAUGGAUUGAACAGAGAUAACUGCAAUAUAUGGAGAAAAACUAUUUUUGACUGUGAAGGAAGAAGUAAUCACUCAGAAGCACAAUACUCCAGUUGCAUUUGAAGGACACUGACUCCAUUUUCAUCCAAAACACUUCAGUGAUUACUGCUACAUGUCACAGCAAAUCAGAGCUUGUACAAGUGCGCCAAACAAUGUUUCAGACAUGCAGGACUAGCUACUGAUUGGAGUGAGGCCAAAUAGACUGUAUUCAAAAAGCAGCUCUACUUUAAAAAAAAAAAAAAAGUGAAUAUUUAAAAGGGCACUGGAGAAGGCCUCUAAGCAACCCUGACUGCUAUCAUCUGCUACAAGGAUAUGGAGCAAGUGACAACUCAGCACUUCACCACAAGGUUUGUACAGGCCUU
Non-coding RNA from Phasianus colchicus (ring-necked pheasant), 2210 nucleotides. NCBI's taxonomy places the organism in Eukaryota, Metazoa, Chordata, Aves, Galliformes, Phasianidae. The record is from RefSeq and is a predicted model, not a curated record.